GUGAGGAAUAUUGGUCAAUGGGCGGGAGCCUGAACCAGCCAAGUCGCGUGAAGGAAGAAGGAUCUAUGGUUCGUAAACUUCUUUUGCAGGGGAAUAAAGUGCAGGACGUGUCCUGUUUUGUAUGUACCCUGAGAAUAAGGAUCGGCUAACUCCGUGCCAGCAGCCGCGGUAAUACGGAGGAUCCGAGCGUUAUCCGGAUUUAUUGGGUUUAAAGGGUGCGUAGGUGGUUUGAUAAGUCAGCGGUGAAAGUUUGCAGCUUAACUGUAAAAAUGCCGUUGAAACUGUCGGACUUGAGUGUAAAUGAGGUAGGCGGAAUGCGUGGUGUAGCGAUGAAAUGCAUAGAUAUCACGCAGAACUCCGAUUGCGAAGGCAGCUUACUAAGCUACAACUGACACUGAAGCACGAAAGCGUGGGGAUCAAACAGGAUUAGAUACCCGAGUAGUCC
RNAcentral lists this ribosomal RNA (445 nucleotides) under uncultured bacterium. Its description in RNAcentral is "partial 16S ribosomal RNA". It matches the Rfam family "Bacterial small subunit ribosomal RNA", at positions 354 to 796 of the family's 1533-position model. The record is from RNAcentral.